Molecule: RNA transcript, 4311 nt
Organism: Xiphophorus maculatus (southern platyfish)
Lineage: Eukaryota; Metazoa; Chordata; Actinopteri; Cyprinodontiformes; Poeciliidae
Gene: bola1
Gene name: bolA family member 1
Exons: 7
Source: RefSeq, a predicted model, not a curated record
AGAUGGCAGCCGUGUCCCUCCAACGGUGCUAGCCGUCAAAAACUUAAAAGAAGAAGACGUCACGCUGUCUGUCCAUUGAAAGAGGCUGAUGCUUCCCAGUGUCUCCCGCUGCACUCGGCCCAUCUACCUUUCUGUAGCUCGGCCUCUGGCUCACUUCAGACCGCCCAUGGACCCGGACCCUAACCGGCCUGUUGAAACAACCAUCAGAACCAAACUGACAGAAAAGUUCAAGCCCGACCACUUGGAGGUCCACAACGAAAGCCACAUGCAUGCGGUUCCCCCCGGGUCCGAGUCUCACUUCCGAGUCCUGGUGGUCAGCUCGCUGUUUGUGGGUCUGCCGCUGAUUCAGCGCCACCGUCUGGUCAAUGAGGCGCUGAAGGAGGAACUGAGUAGCUGUGUUCAUGCGUUGGCCAUCCAGGCGAAGACCCCUGAGCAGUGGGGCGUGGACCCCGCUCUGGGCAAGAGCCCGCCCUGCAUGGGGGGUUCGAAAAACGACCACACUGUGGAGGAGAAGCUGAAGGCCGGGCGGGAAUGAAGCGCUGGACAUUCACAACCUGCUCUUUGGUUUUAUCUGCUCUGAAGAGUUAUUGUUAGCUGAUGACGACCGGCUUCUAGAGGGACCACCAUCCUGGGCCUGGACCCGACGGCCUGUCAGGCCGAGCAAAAGGUUCUGGUGAGGAGGGAGAACAACUGGUGUCACUGGUCUAGAAAAAGGCAAACAGGAACACAACCAGUUUAUGACCCCUGGCACUCAUUAGAGCCAGGAGGGGCCUGCGGAUCGACCCGGGGCCCGGAGCGCCUGCAGACCUGCACUCUGCUGCUGCUGGGGAGAUUUAUGCGUUACGAUUCCAGGUGGCGUUAAGAUCCAACAGAGGGGACGAUGAGCUGGACUGCUGGGACUUGUCUCUGCACUUAACAGUUGAUCACAGCUGGAAGUCCUGGGAGUUUUUCCUCAGGGUGUGAGGGAGUCUGGAUGGACUGGUUUCUGGGCCAGAGAGCAGCACAGGCCAAGGCCCCAACCCUGAGCCCUGAGCCCUGCGCUCGUCAUGCAGCUCUUGUUCGCUCCCCUCCAGGGCUUGGAGUGUGCAUGUCAGGACAAAUAGGGUGUCCUUCGUCCUCCCUCGCUGUCAGUCACAGCAGCUUCUCUGCUACUCUGGGCUCCGUUUGCACACCUUGGCCAGCUCUCCUGAACUCGGAGCUUUCUGAUGUACUGGCCCAGUCAAAGGACGUCCGAAGGCUCCGCUCGGACUUCCACAGAGCGUGAUCUAUUGUUCAUCUGUCAGCAGCGCCGUGAUAUAUUCUAUCCUACCCUGGUGGACAAAACGGACCCCGCAGCAUCGCCGGGCCGCUGACUCUGACACCAGCCAGCUUGACCUCCAGGGCACAGAUGUGGAGGCCUUCCUUUCCCAGGAUCCCCCAGGGAGGGCGUGGACAGGUUUUACACCCUGCAGCAGAAGGGAGGAGGCAGAGGGACGGGCGGCUCGCUGUCCGAAGGGUCAAGUAUUAGGAGUUAAGUGAUGCAUAAGUAAUGCUUUGUUUGGACUGAUCUGAGGGAAGGAAAUUUACUUCAUUUGUGUGUAAUGAAGUUAUUUUUUUUCCUUUGAAACUGAAUUUUUAGAUAAAGAUUAAAGGCAGAAAAGGCUGAGGGUUCAUGGGAAACGAGCUGAGAGUCAUAAAGACAAAAAAUCUCCAGAUGGAAGUGAAAUAAUCAGCAGAUUAAUGUAGAACAUUGUUUUAAUGACAGAAACUGAGGGAGUGAGAACAUCUUCGGGAGGCUGGAGAAACCGGGUCAGACAGAAAAAUCAGACAUGAGGUCAAACUUCAAACCUGAUUUUUGGACACAUUGUUGUCCAUAUUUAUGUUAGUUAUGCAGAUUUCUAAAGGUUUACUUUCUGCUCAGGUGCUUUAUUCAAUAUUCCUCAGAAAAUAACACAUUUUUACUAGAAGUUAAGUGAAAAAGUCCAUCUAAAUAAAUUCACAACAUUUUUAUUUAUUGUAGAAAUAAAAAAUAUUAUUUUUAUUCUUAAGUUGAAAUCAGCUGAACAUACAGUACCUAAAAUAUACUUAGUUUUUUUUUUGUCUAGCUCUCUGAAAGUUCAUUACCCAAAUAUUUUCAACUAUUUGAAGCCUUUUACUCUGAAUCACUCAGAGAAACAAACUGAUUCUAUUUUUAUGGUUUAACUAUUUGCUGUUUGUAAAAUACAAAAUGAUUCCUAAAGAAAAAUGUUCAGCAUCUCUCAGGUCCUCCCAGCUCUUUGUUUCAUUUCUUUGCUCUUUGUAAGACUUUUACACGGUUUGUCCACUGUAGUAGAUUUAUUGCCCUGAUUUUCAUUUUUGUUGCUACUUUCAACACAGUGUUGUCAUGGUAACAGGUAAACUCUAGACCUUGGCCUUUUCUGGACUGCCAGCUUACUUACAGUGACCCUCACUGGCACUCACUGAUAUUAGAAUCAGGUCCUAUUUUGGACAUUUCUUGACUGUUCAAAUAUUAUAAUGGGUUUUAUAAUGCAUAAAUACACAUGCAUAUUUAGUAAAUUUAAGAAAUAUAUAUCCUACUCAUUUGCACAUUCCUUUUUGUUAAUUGCUCAUAGCAUCACAAUGUAAUUUUGCCUUUACUGUACAGUCCGUCAUUCUUUACUGGGUUUGUUUUUCAUAUAUUUUAAUAGUUUUAUCUUUGUGUGAACCUACAUGUCUUGAUUCCCGUCAUUUUGCUGCUGCUACACCUGAAUUUCCCUCCCACUUUGUGGGACAACAAAGCGUAUUUAUAUUAUAUUUUAUUACAUUUGUUUGUUUUAAGUGCAAACAAUCUAUUGCAAUUUUUCCAUGAUGGAAAAUGUCGCUUGAGCUUCGAUUCUUUAGUCAAAACCUGGUGAAAGAAAUAAGUCUGGUGCACUUUUUUUUUUGGAGAAAACUUUCCAGAUAUAAUUUCAAAUUCAGAGAUACUGGUUAGACUUGUAGUGAUAAAAAUUACAAGCUUAUGUUGCUGCAACAAAAUGUCACAAUGAAUGUUUAUCUGCUGCAAAUUGAUGACAGAUUCCCCAGUUGAUCACUUUUUAUUUUUCCUGCACCCACUUCCAGUCAGCUUUUCUUUUGUUCUGGACAGAAGUUUCCUGGUCUUCAUAAGGAGUUUAAAACAUUUACCUCCCAGCUGCUAAACUCAGAGAAACCUGCUGGUCAUUAGCUCUUUCCCUCGUCAGCCGGCUGGAGUGGCAGCUCUCUGUGGUCGCGCUCACAGAGGCCUUUCAGACCUUUUGGCUUCCAUAGCACAGGCGUGAAAAUCGGCUACAUUUAAUCAGCCAUGGUGGAGAAUUUAAAGAAAAGGAUCAAGAGAGCUUUGUCCUAAUGGAUUGGCUACAGUUUGGGGGUCCAGCACACCAAGUUAUACCUUGUUAAAGGCACAUCACUGCGACAGUAUAACUCAAAACACAUGGUGUUGCCUUUAAGCGCUCCCUCUUUCUCUCUGGAUAAAGGAAGAAAUUGAUUUUGAUAUGUUUUUGUGGUUCUUUUUGACAUUUGAGGGCUAAAUUUGUGCAACAGUGAUUUCGAUUGACUGUCAAGGCAACCACUUCAUCCGCGCUCCAAAAAAAUAGAAAAUUAAAGAAUAAGUCUGCUUUUGUGUUUAGGAAGUACAUCAAGUGACUCACGUAUACAGAGGGUCAAUUCUUUCAGGCUGUCUGUACAUUAAAAUUUCAAGCUUACGGCCAUGGCAAUUCUUACCAAUACAGUAAGGCCAUAGAAGACGUAGGCGACAUUCAGAAAGGGCCCGCGCAGUCAAACAAAGCAGUAAAUCAAGUGCCUUGACACAUGCUCACCAGACAGUUUGCCGUUUGUCACAGAGGCUGAAUGGAACUAAAAGCAAAGUUGUGGACGCAUCGGGGUGAUCGGCAUUGCUCAGAUAGAGCACAAGGGGCCUUUUCAGACAGCUGCAACACUGAUUACAUUGUGUGAAGGCCAAUCAAAAGGGGAAAAUGACGAGAGCAGCCAUGCCGGACACACACAAUGCACAAAUGGUGGCAGGGAGAGGAACAUUUUGGGAUGCAGAGUCUCACACAUGGGAAACUCUCAGGAAGCGUUAGCAGCUUUGUAAAGUUGAAAUCAACAUGUUUCAUGAAAAAGGUGACAAAUAACAACCUCUUGCUGUCACAAAAAGCAAUAAAUCAAUCAAUUACAUAAUAAAUUAAACUCAAUAAUUUCCAUUGCAUGACUUGUCAUUUUUCUCUUUUUAUCUCCCAAUUUCUACCAAAAACAAUCUUUUUACAGAAACUUUAUCAUUAAUCUUAUUUGUUGCUUCGGUUGUUUUGUUUAUUUAUU